This 527-nucleotide long non-coding RNA is filed under the name Brassica napus (rape). RNAcentral's name for it is "long non-coding RNA (BNAP_LNC006045)". Lineage: Eukaryota; Viridiplantae; Streptophyta; Magnoliopsida; Brassicales; Brassicaceae. The record is from RNAcentral.
CUCGGCAAAAUGUACUAACACAGAAUUUUUGCUUUGAUUUAUGGUUAGUUUCCUUUUAUAUAUUUGACUUCGCAUACGUCUCUGUGUAUCCUACGCUCGGCGAUAUCUAUUGUUGACUCAGACAAUUUGUUUUGACUUUGACUUAGACUAACAUGGUUAUUCAUUUUGGAAUAAAAUGAUAUGAUAUAUGUUGGGAUUGUGAAACCACGUGUCCAACUCUAUAUUGUCCGAUUAGUACGAUAUUGUCUAUUUUGGGCUUUAGAGGUUGACCCGCAUGGAUUUACUUUUGGUUUCCUUCCCAAAAGGCCUUGUACUAUUAGAGUUGGACAUCUCUUUAUAUAUUAGACACUCCUUGUCUAAUUCUCCAAUGUGGGACUUAGAUUGUUAUCUCACAUUCUCCCCUUCAAACUAAGGAUCACAUUCAUCUCGUGUCCCACAACUGACUUCCAUGAUCUUUUGACUUGAUCUCUGCCACACACACCUCCCAUUCCUAACUCAUAGGAUACCCAUUCAUCACUCAUUCAUCA